GGGCCUGUAGCUCAGCCUGGUAGAGCAGCGGAAGUUUAACCCGUUGGUCGCGGGUUCGAAUCCCGCCAGGCCCA
Molecule: transfer RNA, 74 nt
Rfam family: tRNA
About the family: Transfer RNA (tRNA) molecules are approximately 80 nucleotides in length.